UUCUGGCUCAGGAUGAACGCUGGCGGCGUGCCUAACACAUGCAAGUCGAACGGGGUACAGACGCUGUGAGAAGAAGUGCUUGCACGGAAUCGAACUUGUUGUACUUAGUGGCGGACGGGUGAGUAACGCGUGGAAAACCUGCCUCAUACAGGGGGAUAACAGGAAGAAAUUCCUGCUAAUACCGCAUAAGCGCACAGUAUCGCAUGAUAGAGUGUGAAAAGAAUUAUCGGUAUGAGAUGGUUCCGCGUCUGAUUAGCCAGUUGGCGGGGUAACGGCCCACCAAAGCGACGAUCAGUAGCCGGCCUGAGAGGGCGGACGGCCACAUUGGGACUGAGACACGGCCCAGACUCCUACGGGAGGCAGCAGUGGGGGAUAUUGCACAAUGGAGGGAACUCUGAAUGCAGCGACGCCGCGUGGGUGAAGAAGUUAUUCGUAAUGUAAAGCCCUAUCAGCAGGGAAGAUAAUGACGGUACCUGACUAAGAAGCCCCGGCUAACUACGUGCCAGCCGCCGC
RNAcentral lists this ribosomal RNA (513 nucleotides) under uncultured bacterium. Its description in RNAcentral is "bacterial SSU rRNA". It matches the Rfam family "Bacterial small subunit ribosomal RNA", at positions 17 to 518 of the family's 1533-position model. The record is from RNAcentral.